ACACGACUCUCGGCAACGGAUAUCUCGGCUCUCGCAUCGAUGAAGAACGUAGCGAAAUGCGAUACCUGGUGUGAAUUGCAGAAUCCCGCGAACCAUCGAGUCUUUGAACGCAAGUUGCGCCCGAGGCCACUCGGCCGAAGGGCGCCUGCCUGGGCGUCACGC
RNAcentral lists this ribosomal RNA (162 nucleotides) under Triticum aestivum (bread wheat). RNAcentral's name for it is "5.8S ribosomal RNA". It matches the Rfam family "5.8S ribosomal RNA". Rfam says of the family: 5.8S ribosomal RNA (5.8S rRNA) is a component of the large subunit of the eukaryotic ribosome. It is transcribed by RNA polymerase I as part of the 45S precursor that also contains 18S and 28S rRNA. Functionally, it is thought that 5.8S rRNA may be involved in ribosome translocation. RNAcentral also lists the same sequence under 4 other names. Lineage: Eukaryota; Viridiplantae; Streptophyta; Magnoliopsida; Poales; Poaceae. The record is from RNAcentral.